CCUACGGGAGGCAGCAGUGAGGAAUAUUGGUCAAUGUACGCGAGUCUGAACCAGCCAAGUAGCGUGAAGGAUGACUGCCCUAUGGGUUGUAAACUUCUUUUAUAUGGGAGUAAAAUGUUCCACGUGUGGGAUUUUGUAUGUACCAUAUGACUAAGGAUCGGCUAACUCCGUGCCAGCAGCCGCGGUAAUACGGAGGAUGCGAGCGUUAUCCGGAUUUAUUGGGUUUAACGGGAGCGUAGGUGGAUUGUUAAGUCAGUUGUGAAAGUUUGCGGCUCAACCGUCACAUUGCAGUUGAAACUGGCAGUCUUGAGUACAGUAGAGGUGGGCGGAAUGCGUGGUGUAGCGGUGAAAUGCUUAGAUAUCACGAAGAACUCCGAUUGCGAAGGCAGCUUACUAAACUGCCACUGACAUUGAUGCUCGAAAGUGUGGGUAUCAAACAGGAUUAGAUACCCUAGUAGUC
RNAcentral lists this ribosomal RNA (460 nucleotides) under uncultured bacterium. RNAcentral's name for it is "partial 16S ribosomal RNA". It matches the Rfam family "Bacterial small subunit ribosomal RNA", at positions 338 to 795 of the family's 1533-position model. The record is from RNAcentral.